GAUGAACGCUGGCGGCGUGCCUAAUACAUGCAAGUCGAGCGAACAGACGAGGAGCUUGCUCCUCUGACGUUAGCGGCGGACGGGUGAGUAACACGUGGAUAACCUACCUAUAAGACUGGGAUAACUUCGGGAAACCGGAGCUAAUACCGGAUAAUAUAUUGAACCGCAUGGUUCAAUAGUGAAAGACGGUUUUGCUGUCACUUAUAGAUGGAUCCGCGCCGCAUUAGCUAGUUGGUAAGGUAACGGCUUAGCAAGGCAACGAUGCGUAGCCGACCUGAGAGGGUGAUCGGCCACACUGGAACUGAGACACGGUCCAGACUCCUACGGGAGGCAGCAGUAGGGAAUCUUCCGCAAUGGGCGAAAGCCUGACGGAGCAACGCCGCGUGAGUGAUGAAGGUCUUCGGAUCGUAAAACGCUGUUGUUAGGAAAGAACAAAUGUGUAAGUAACUAUGCACGUCUUGACGGUACCUGAUCAAAAAGCCACGGCUAACUACGUG
This 497-nucleotide ribosomal RNA is filed under the name uncultured bacterium. Its description in RNAcentral is "partial 16S ribosomal RNA". It matches the Rfam family "Bacterial small subunit ribosomal RNA", at positions 28 to 507 of the family's 1533-position model. The record is from RNAcentral.